UUUGUGCUAAGGUAGCAUAAUAAUUUGUCUUUUAAUUAAAGACUAGAACAAAAGGUUUAACAUCUCAAUUAAUAUCUUAUAAGAAACUAUUUAAAUUAUUUUAAUUGUAAAAAAACAAUUUUUAAAAAGAAAGACGAUAAGACCCUAUCGAACUUUACUUUAGUUUAACUGGGGAAGUUAAUUAAUUAUUAUUUUAAUAAAAUUCAAUAUUUAAUUUGACCUAAUAUCAUUAACAAAAUAAUUAAGUUACCGUAGGGAUAACAGCGUAAUAAAAUUUUUAAGAUCUUAUUUAAAAUUAAGAUUACGACCUCGAUGUUGAUUUAAUAUCCUAAUUUACGCAAUAGUUAAUUAAGGAAGUCUGUUCGACUUUUAAAAAAUUACAUGAUCUG
RNAcentral lists this ribosomal RNA (389 nucleotides) under Pardosa hamifera. RNAcentral's name for it is "partial 16S ribosomal RNA". The record is from RNAcentral. Lineage: Eukaryota; Metazoa; Arthropoda; Arachnida; Araneae; Lycosidae.